Molecule: long non-coding RNA, 1275 nt
Organism: Phyllopteryx taeniolatus (common seadragon)
Lineage: Eukaryota; Metazoa; Chordata; Actinopteri; Syngnathiformes; Syngnathidae
Exons: 2
Source: RefSeq, a predicted model, not a curated record
UAUAGAUUGAUUUAUAGUGAUCGCUCCCCGUCGAGACCGGGGAUCGAACCCGAGUCUUCUCUGUGUCGUUCCAAUUUUAGUCAACGGUUAACCGAGAGGGUUAGCAUUGCGUGGCUAAAUGGCGUGACGAGUUUUUCUUGUGACAUUGAAACUAGCAAACGAAGAAUGUGCAUAUACUGAACUUCCAAGAGCUUUAAAAAAUAAAAUACAUAGUGGGAAGAUAGUUGGGAUUGGCUCCAAUCACGCUCGCGGCCCGCGUGAGGAGAAGAAGUACAGAAAAUGGAUGCAUGGAAAAAACGCGUUGUCCGAGCACGCGUGAGCCUUUCCUCCCCCACCUUGGCCGCAUUCCUACGAGGGGCUGGUGCAGCGAAGAGGCCCUUCCUUCUCUGUCUUCACCGAACGACGCUCGUCUGACGUCAAAUGUAUUUGCAUGAUCCCCUCCGGCAGCCUAUCAGAUGGCCGUGUGUGCACUUCCUGUGUUUACACGGAUUGUUUUCAGUGAAUUUCUGCUUGUAAAUACUCAAUAAUAACUAACAUAUUGUUGAGCUAGCUUCCAUAUCCACCCAUAUACACACCCAUGUAUUUUGUCACUGAGUUGUCCGAGUGGUCUGGGGUGAUACCUGACCUCAAGGAUGUGCUCUAUGAUGUGCUCUUUAUAUACCUGCCCAGCAGGUGUACCAAUUGCGUUGCUUCGGCUUCGCAUAUACUAAAAUUGGAACGAUACAGAGAAGAUUAGCAUGGCCCCUGCGCAAGGAUGACACGCAAAUUCGUGAAGCGUUCCUCAUUUUAAAAAAGCGUUCCUUAUUUAAAAAAAAUAUUUUUUAAUGCAUAUUGCAUCCUUUUUUAAAAAUCAAAAUAUACCAGUAAAACGAAUCUGUUUUUUUAUUUCCGAUUUAUUCCGAGCAUUUAUAUAGCCUUGCUUUCUCAUUUUAUCAUUGUUUUUGACCUAAAAAUAUUUGAAAACUAUAUUAAAAAAUAUAGUGGGAGGCCAUCUAUAUCUGCUGCCAUCUGCUGGAGGAAUUUGGUAUUACCACCUAUUUACUCGUUUCUCUGUAUUUUGAUUGUGUUUUUAAAAACCACAGCUAUAGAUACGUUGUUGAAUAUUGUUCUUGUUUUUAAUAGUAGCAGUAGUAUUAGCAGUCACAACAUCUAUGAUCGACUGGCGGAGGGAGGCUCCAGGCCUCCUCUUUCAUCUGUAACCGUUUCAUACAACAAAGAACAUGUAUGAAUGUAUGCUGUGAUGUCUUUAUUGAUGAUUGAUAUUUUUUUAUGGUU